Molecule: long non-coding RNA, 646 nt
Filed under: Monodelphis domestica (gray short-tailed opossum)
Lineage: Eukaryota; Metazoa; Chordata; Mammalia; Didelphimorphia; Didelphidae
Description: lncRNA (ENSMODG00000042941.1)
Source: RNAcentral
CAUUGGUACAUGUGAGACACAGGAAGUGAUGUAAAGAAUUGCCUUUAUAUUUUGCAUCACUUCCUGUGAGAAGGACUUUUGCAGUCUUUGGCGGUGGUACUUGACUUAGAGGAGCUGUGGAGUGUGGGACCUCAGACUGUUUCUCUGAGACAUCCACAUGGUUAAUCAUGCUGAGAGAGGACUGGGUUUAUGCCUUAGUUCCUAACCCCCCUCACAGAGUAUGUGUCAGUAAGAACUUUUUUCAGUUUCUAUAAAAUACAGCUCAUCAAAAUGGUGGACCCUGUUGAAUGCACAUCCAGAUUUCAUUCCUAAAGGAGGGUAACAAGGGAGCCUACACUGGAACCAAGGCAAAUGAAACCAUAGAUUUUUGGUGACAUCUAUUUACUGGUUGCUGUUUUGAGACCUGCUGUCAGUUUGCUUGCAAAAGUUCUCUCUCCCAAUGAAGUUCUGAAGUUUGACAAUAAUGUGUAUGCUCUGGAGGUGGAGUCAAGAUGGUGGCUUAGAAACAGCAAAAGUUGAAUCCUCUGUGAAAACUCUUCUACACAAAUCAAAAAGAAAGUACUUUGAGGGGGGACACAAAAAUAAAUACAACAACAGGACAGAGCUGGGGGAUGCUCCUGCUGGAUUCACCUUAAAAGAGGAAUAA